AGAGUUUGAUCAUGGCUCAGAACGAACGCUGGCGGCGUGCCUAACACAUGCGAGUCGAGCGAGAAAGUCUCCGCAAGGGGGCAAGUAAAGCGGCGCACGGGUGCGUAACACGUGGGUAAUCUGCCCUUGAGUCCAGAACAACCUUCCGAAAGGAGGGCUAAUACUGGAUAUGACCACGAGGACUUCGGUCCUUGCGGUGAAAAGAUGGCCUCUGCAUGCAAGCUAUCACUCAUCGAGGAGCCCGCGGCCCAUCAGCUAGUUGGCGGGGUAACGGCCCACCAAGGCUACGACGGGUAGCUGGUCUGAGAGGACGAUCAGCCACACUGGAACUGAGACACGGUCCAGACUCCUACGGGAGGCAGCAGUGGGGAAUUUUGCGCAAUGGGCGAAAGCCUGACGCAGCAACGCCGCGUGAGUGAUGAAGGUCUUCGGAUCGUAAAGCUCUUUCGGCCGGGACGAAAACGUCGGAAUGAAUAAGUCCGGCCUUGACGGUACCGGAAGAAGAAGCACCGGCUAACUCUGUGCCAGCAGCCGCGGUAAUACAGAGGGUGCGAGCGUUGUUCGGAAUUAUUGGGCGUAAAGCGCGUGUAGGCGGUGUUGCAUGUCGGGUGUGAAAGCCCUCGGCUUAACCGAGGAAGUGCGCCCGAAACUGCAGCGCUGGAGUGCCGGAGAGGGUGGCGGAAUUCCGGGUGUAGAGGUGAAAUUCGUAGAUAUCCGGAGGAACACCAGUGGCGAAGGCGGCCACCUGGACGGACACUGACGCUGAGACGCGAAAGCGUGGGGAUCAAACAGGAUUAGAUACCCUGGUAGUCCACGCUGUAAACGAU
RNAcentral lists this ribosomal RNA (827 nucleotides) under uncultured bacterium. Its description in RNAcentral is "bacterial SSU rRNA". It matches the Rfam family "Bacterial small subunit ribosomal RNA", at positions 8 to 810 of the family's 1533-position model. The record is from RNAcentral.